Molecule: ribosomal RNA, 697 nt
Filed under: Minisyncoccota bacterium
Lineage: Bacteria; Bacillati; Minisyncoccota
Description: bacterial SSU rRNA
Rfam family: Bacterial small subunit ribosomal RNA
Source: RNAcentral
CCCCUCUAGUGCCGCAGCUAACGCAUUAAGUAUCCCGCCUGGGGAGUACGACCGCAAGGUUGAAACUCAAAGGAAUUGACGGGGGAGCGCACAACCGGAGGAGUAUGUGGUUUAAUUCGAUACAAAGCGAAAAACCUUACCUGGGUUUGACAUGUAACUGCACGGUCUAGGAAACUAGAUCUUCUUCGAGAGUGUUACACAGGUGUUGCAUGGCUGUCGUCAGCUCGUGUCGUGAGGCGUCCACUUAAGUGUGGUAACGAGCGCAACCCUUAUCCCGUGUUACAAGUGUCACGGGAGACUGCCUUGCUUUUUGCAGGGAGGAAGGAGAGGACGACGUCAAGUCAGCAUGACCCUUACAUCCAGGGCUACACACAUCCUACAAUGGAGCCGACAACGGGUAGCGAAGCCGCAAGGCGGAGCCAAUCCUUUAAACGGCCCCUCAGUUCAGAUUGUUCUCUGCAAUUCGAGAGCAUGAAGUCGGAAUCGGUAGUAAUCGCAAAUCAGCAGGUUGCGGUGAAUACGUUCUCGCUCCUUGUACACACCGCCCGUCAAACCAGCAAAGUUAGUAGCGCCCGAAGCGGGUGACCGUAACUCGCAAGAGAACGGCCCUUCUACGGCGAGAUUAGCGAUGAGGGUUAAGUCGUAACAAGGUAUCGGUACUGGAAGGUGCCGAUGGAUCACCUCCUUUCUAAGGAGA